Long non-coding RNA from Dermochelys coriacea (leatherback sea turtle), 2387 nucleotides. RefSeq lists it as uncharacterized. The transcript has 3 exons. Lineage: Eukaryota; Metazoa; Chordata; Testudines; Dermochelyidae. The record is from RefSeq and is a predicted model, not a curated record.
AAAGUAACCCCAUCAAACAAUUGUACUCAGAAAUUUGUCAAGUGUUUUCUUAAAACUAAUAAGUUGUUUGCCUCCUCAACUCCUGUUAGGAGGUUGUUCCAGAAUCUUACCUGAUGGUUAGAAACCUUCUAAUUUCAGCCUGAAUUUGUUCAUGGCCAGUUUAUAAAUAUGUGUACUUGUGCCAACAUUGUCCUUUUGCUUAAAUAGCUCUUUACUCUCCCUGGUAUACAUAACGAGCAAUCAUAGCUGUUCUCAGCCUUCUUUUUGUGAGGCUAAACAAGCCAACCUCUUACAGAGUCCUCUCAUGAGAUAGGCCCUCCAUUCUCCUGAUCAUCCUAGUAGCUCUUCUCUGCACCUGUUCCAGUUUAAAUUAAUCUUUCUUGAGCAUGGGUGAUGAGAAUUAUACACAGCAUUCCAAAUGUGGUCUUACCCAUGCCUUGCACAAUGGCAUUAAUACUUGUCUAUAUCACCUAAUGUUGUGUGCUCCCCAUCCUUUAGAUCGUGCUAGAAAAUGGCAUCUGUCUGCAAGAUGAAUUUCUUCAUGCAGCACUGGUUCUCUGCAGAAGAGCCGUAUGCUCUUCCAAAAAGCUUCUGCACAAGUGGAGAACCAAUGUAUGUACCUUCCAGGGUGUUUUACUGCACAAAAGGUAAGGUAUUAAUUAUCAUAGAUAAUAUGCUGCUAUCCCCAGGAAGGAUUUGACCUGCUGCAGUGGUUUUCAGGCCAAGGUUCAGUAAGCAGGCUUUUCAAACUUCUGCCCAUGCCCUGGUGAGAGGAGAAAAGAAAAGGACAAGGAACUUUCAAGGGGAUUGAGAGGGGUGAAUAGGUCACUUUUUACUUGUAUUGUGGGAGAAAGAACAACAGAGACAUGGAAGUGUGGAAAAAUGAAGAGGACAGGACAGAGAAGACCUGCAAAAUUGUUACACGGUCUUAGGGACCUGGACCUGCAGUGGUUACCAGGAACAGGAGGAGCUCAGGACCUUCACUGCUUUGGAACCAGCAACCAGGAGACUGCUGGUGUUGGUAAUCACUGGAACCAGAAACAAGGUAAAAGGAUGGAUUGACAGUUUUCAGUUCCCCAAGCAGUUUCCCACAACAGGUCUUCUGCGGAUAAGCCAGUAUGGCAAGUUUUGGCUCACAGUUUCAGUGGUUUGCAAAUGAUUUCAUCUUGAAAAUAUGGGAGUUACUCAACAAUUUGGAGCCAGAUUAUGAUCUGAGUUAUUAUGGAUUUAUUCUGGUGCAUCUCCGUUGAUUCUACCAAAAUUAUUCCUAAUUGACAACAGUAUUAUUUCCAUCAGAAUCUGGUGCAGUUUCCUAUCCGGUAUGGAAACUGGUGAUAAAGAGAAGACAAUGCUAGCUGAAAGGAAAAGUGCAUGCCUCUUUGUUGCAGCUAGAAGAAAUGAUUAAUUAUUCUACUUGUAAAGACACCUCAUGCUGCCUUUAUAGCCUAGGUUUGUAUCAAAGACCAUCCCUACUAAAUUACAGAAGACUAUAUAAAUGUAGAGCUCAUCUGUGCUGGGAAGGCUUGUAAAUACUUUUCUGCUUGGAUGCAAGCUACAUUAGUGCUAUUAAUGGUGGAAGUUGCAGUGUUAGUGUAAUGCUGACAGCGGGCCGGAUUGAACCGGGGACCUCUGGAGCUUAGUGCAUAAGCUGCUACCACAUGAGCUAAAAGCCAACUAGCUGUUAGCUAAGAUUGUAGAGCAGACUAAUUUUAACUCUCUCUUUCUAAGUGGUCUCAGUGCCACUAGAUGGGACAGAACACCACACCCAGGAGGUGUGUGGGUUACAUUAGCAAGGUGCAAGAAAACAACACUUUUUUAACACCCCCCCCAAACCCCCUGUGCCCCAUCUAUGUUGGAGUUGCAUCUGCGCAGAAAAAUAUGUAGUGGAGAGAAGACUUCAGAGGCGUCUUACUACUGCCUAGUCAAGAAUUACAAUUCACAAACAGUGUAAUUAGUUAUUUCAGGAGUGAAUCAGUAUCCCAUUAUGGUGUUGUGGCACUACUGAUGUAAAAUGAGUGGUCCUGAACACUUGUUAAACAGAUGUCUGUUUUUGAAAGCAUAGUGGGACUAAUCCCAGUGUUUUAGCCAUAUUCCAGCUAAAAUAAAUAUAUUCUCUUUAAAUUUGUCCUGUAAUUUAAAUGAACAUUAUACUGCUUUUCUUAUCCUACACUACUGUAUAAUGUUGUGCAAUGUUGAACUGCUUUUUUAUUCCAGAGAUGAGCAAAGUCAUUAAUAUAUGUGCUAUUAAAAUCUAAGAUGCUGAGACUGUAUUUCAGUAGCUUAAUUGUAUGAUAAAAACACUGAAAACUACUGGAAAAUCCUCAGAAUUAUUUUAUGAUUCUAUGCAUGAGGGAUCUAAAGAGUGAAUGUUUUGUGGCUUGAUGGUG